This 301-nucleotide ribosomal RNA is filed under the name uncultured bacterium. RNAcentral's name for it is "partial 16S ribosomal RNA". It matches the Rfam family "Bacterial small subunit ribosomal RNA", at positions 509 to 807 of the family's 1533-position model. The record is from RNAcentral.
CAGUCGCCACGGUAAUACGUAGGUGGCAAGCGUUGUCCGGAAUUGUUGGGCGUAAAGGGCUCGCAGGCGGUUUCUUAAGUCUGAUGUGAAAGCCCCCGGCUCAACCGGGGAGGGUCAUUGGAAACUGGGAAACUUGAGCGCAGAAGAGGAGAGUGGAAUUCCACGUGUAGCGGUGAAAUGCGUAGAGAUGUGGAGGAACACCAGUGGCGAAGGCGACUCUCUGGUCUGUAACUGACGCUGAGGAGCGAAAGCGUGGGGAGCGAACAGGAUUAGAUACCCCCGUAGUCCCUGUCUCUUAUAC